Molecule: ribosomal RNA, 446 nt
Filed under: uncultured bacterium
Lineage: Bacteria
Description: partial 16S ribosomal RNA
Rfam family: Bacterial small subunit ribosomal RNA
Source: RNAcentral
CCUACGGGUGGCAGCAGUCGAGAAUCAUUCACAAUGGGGGAAACCCUGAUGGUGCGACGCCGCGUGGGGGAAUGAAGGUCUUCGGAUUGUAAACCCCUGUCAUGUGGGAGCAAAUUAAAAAGAUAGUACCACAAGAGGAAGAGACGGCUAACUCUGUGCCAGCAGCCGCGGUAAUACAGAGGUCUCAAGCGUUGUUCGGAAUCACUGGGCGUAAAGCGUGCGUAGGCUGUUUCGUAAGUCGUGUGUGAAAGGCGCGGGCUCAACCCGCGGACGGCACAUGAUACUGCGAGACUAGAGUGAUGGAGGGGGAACGGGAAUUCUCGGUGUAGCAGUGAAAUGCGUAGAUAUCGAGAGGAACACUCGUGGCGAAGGCGGGUUCCUGGACAUUAACUGACGCUGAGGCACGAAGGCCAGGGGAGCGAAAGGGAUUAGAUACCCGAGUAGUC